CCCGCCUUCCCGGGGACUGGCAGCCCGCCCCGCGGCCCGCCUCCUGCCCAGCCUCUCCUGCUAUGUUUCCAUGGGGUGUGGACCCUUCUCUCCCGCGGAGGUGGGCGGGCGCAGCCGCGGCUACUUGGUAGCGGGUUCGGGGCCCGGCCGCGCCUGCGGCGGCGAGAGCCAUCCUGGACCGACCUCGGGCCUGCGGAGUUUGUGUGCAGCGUCUGCUGGGUGCAGCGGCCUCAGUUCUGAGCGCAGCAAUCGACCCAGUUUUUUACCUGUGAAACUUCAUUUCAAACAGGGAAAUGAAGAGACUAACACCCAGGAUGGCAUAAAGACUAUUUUAAACUGACAACAGGUGAACAAACAGCAGCUGCAGAAAAAAAGCCUUCCUGCAUUCCCUUUGAUGAGUAAAGCAGGCCUUUCUGAGAAUUCAGCUGCCAUAACCCUCUCCAAGGGGGCCUCUGUAAGGGUGGAGCCUGACUUUGCAUCAGGACCUCCCAGGGAAUUGUGUAAAUACAUCCUAUCAGAACCUUCCAUACUUUCCCACUGCAGCCUUAACACCCUCCUCACCCAUCCCAUUAAGCUGAUGUAUAAAAUCUUAUCUCUGCACUUCAGAGAGCUACUCCUUACAGCGUGCUCCUGCAUACAUAUAUAAUAAACUUUUCUCCUAUUAAUAUGUCUGUUAGCACACAGGCCCUCAACCACUUGAACCUAAGUUGGUAGAGGCAAAGUUUUCCUCCCAAUGACACUUUCUAGACUUCUCCGGAUACACUAGAGUGUUCAAACACAUAACGAAAUUUGGAAACCUUGACUUUGUUUGAAGGUGGAAGAAUCUACUGUACAUGUACAUGGGCUUUCUGGGAAUCCUUUUAAGUUUGUCUCAAACAAUAAACUUUGGGUAGUCACCCUGUGUGUUUAAUAAGUGACUGAAAACUUUAUUUGCCUUAGGGAGAGAGCUAUAAGCCAUCUAAGCUGGGAUGAUGGGCUGUGCUCUCCUGAUUUCCUCUGGGCGUGUAAUCUGUAGUCUAAAGGGGCUUUGUAGUGAGUUAUAGCCUUCUUAACCACCAUGGGCGGCAGCAGGAACAGUGUAGCAACAGCGGAGAGGUAGCAUUUAUUGUACUGGACAUGUCACUGCCUGGUCCUGUGGUGAGUUCCUUAUGUUUUUCUGUUUAAUCCUCACACAGUGUUCUCCCCAUUUUACAGAUGCAUAGACUCAAAGGGUAGGUACCUUGUUAAAGAUUUUACCAUUCCCGAAAACAAGAGCAAGAUGCAGACAAGGGUGUCUAGUGUGCUACCUUUCAUAAAGCAGAGAAAAUAAGAAAAUAUGUAUGUAUCAUACACAUAUUUAAUCAAUUUUGCAAAUAGGCAAUUCAGGAAGGAUAAGCCAGAAGCUAAUGAAAGUGAUUACAUAUAAGGAAGGUGGGCAAUGAGACUCCCCCCCCCCCCUUUUAAAAGUUGAAUAUAAUCAAACUGGUGAACAUUAUAGCAAAUGGACAACUUAUUCACAUGGAGGAAAUAAUUAUUUCAGGUUACACACACACACAGUAUUCUGGGUACGUCUUUAGAGGUGGGUUUAUUGUUCAUAAUGUUGUCAAAGAUAAGAAAAAACUAUUCCAGUGGUACAGCGUGUAAUAAGUCCUACAUCUGUUCCUUUCCUGUGCCUGUUAAGCAAAGUGUAGCUAAACUCUUGCUUUGAAACCAAAGAAGCCAUUAAAAGAUAAGCAUGCAUCUUUCAGUGCUAUGUGUUUGUGGUGUGUGGGUCAUGAGGUAGAGGAGGCACGCAUGGUACUGUAUUAGAGUGGCAGAAGUGUUAUAAGCACUUGGGGAAAGGGAUCUAGAUUCUUGACACAAUCUCCAUUUUCUUUUGUAAAAUGGAGAUAGACAGUAAAGGGUGGGUAGGGCCAGGACUGCUUACUCAGUGGCCUUUUUGACUGUAAUAAUGAUUAAGAGUUUAUGAAUGAAUGAAUUUCAGGAGAAUGUUGAUAGCUGCUGGCCCGUGGAUUCCAUGUUCAAAGGUCACUAUUAAAGGGGUUUGAGACAAACUAGAUUAUUUGUUCACUUAUGUACCUAUUGUCUGUUCCCUGCUAGAAUGUAAGUGCCACAAGGACAGGCGUAUUGAAUCACAAUGAAGAGGGUGCAGUGAGGAUUAAUUAAUGCACGAAAAGCCCUCACAGCUGACCUUGGGUGUUGCUUAACUUAGUGUAAGAAUGAGUUCACUUAUAGCCAAGAAGAGUAUCUGGCUAUUUUGAACCUUGGCAUUGGCUGUUAGGUGUAAAUUUUAAAAAACACUUGAGUAAAGUUGAUUAUACCACUUUGGAGUUCUUAUCAUGGCUUACUUUGUUUCCCUUUUCAAGUGUUCAAGUACUUUAUAAACCUCAUACAUAUACGCAAAUGUACUUAUUUAGCCCUUAUUUCACCAUGUGAAGUGCUAACAAAUUUAAGAGGAACAGUUGUGAAAUGAGAGUACAGUCAUUGGAAUGUUAGAAAACGUCUAUUGGAAGGUAGAGUCUUAUUUCGUCAACUGGCACGAGUGAUUUCAAGAUGUGUUAAGCCACACAAUAUUGGGUUAAAGGAUAUGAAGCUUUCCUGCUUCCAUAUGUAAGGUUGGUAGGAUGAAAAGUCAUAGAAAAUAGCAAAAUUACUAAUGAUGGACACACAGGCAUUUAUUAUUUGAAAAUUAAAUUAUUUAGAAGGAAAAAAAUCCUCUUUUCAUCAUUGUGCAACGAAUGGAGCACAAGAUACAUUGGUUGCCAAAAGAGUUUAUUAGCCAGCUCAGAAGGCUUAUCAGACGUUUUAGCAAUUCAUUGAAUUAUUUAUCAACAUUUACCAAGACUCAAUGAAAGAUGCCACAAGAGAAGGGCCAUUGUAAUCAAUUCUGUUAGAAUUAAGAGUGAGGCUUUGAAUGAUGUUUGUUAUAGUGAUGAAUGAGUUGAACACCUGAACCUACAAAUAGAAUUAAAAUACCUCUCCAAAAGACAUUGUUUUUAAGUGUUUUUGUUUGCAAAUUGAUGCCAUUUUAGAAGUUUUGGUUUAAUGAAUGAAAAACAUCAAAACUGAAGUAUUGUUAUGCAAAAUAUCUUGUAUUAAAGUUUAACUCACAAAAUUUUAGUAUUCA
This is a non-coding RNA of Equus caballus (horse), 3106 nucleotides long. NCBI's taxonomy places the organism in Eukaryota, Metazoa, Chordata, Mammalia, Perissodactyla, Equidae. The record is from RefSeq and is a predicted model, not a curated record.